UAAUACGUAGGGUGCGAGCGUUAAUCGGAAUUACUGGGCGUAAAGCGUGCGCAGGCGGUUGUGUAAGACAGGUGUGAAAUCCCCGGGCUUAACCUGGGAACUGCGCUUGUGACUGCACGACUAGAGUGUGGCAGAGGGGGGUGGAAUUCCACGUGUAGCAGUGAAAUGCGUAGAGAUGUGGAGGAACACCGAUGGCGAAGGCAGCCCCCUGGGUUAACACUGACGCUCAUGCACGAAAGCGUGGGUAGCAAACAGGAUUAGAUACCCUGGUAGUCCACGCCCUAAACGAUGCCAACUAGGUGUUGGGGAAGGAGACUUCCUUAGUACCGUAGCUAACGCGUGAAGUUGGCCGCCUGGGGAGUACGGUCGCAAGAUUAAAACUCAAAUGAAUUGACGG
Molecule: ribosomal RNA, 397 nt
Filed under: bacterium enrichment culture
Lineage: Bacteria
Description: bacterial SSU rRNA
Rfam family: Bacterial small subunit ribosomal RNA
Source: RNAcentral